RNAcentral lists this ribosomal RNA (443 nucleotides) under uncultured bacterium. RNAcentral describes it as "partial 16S ribosomal RNA". It matches the Rfam family "Bacterial small subunit ribosomal RNA", at positions 338 to 794 of the family's 1533-position model. The record is from RNAcentral.
CCUACGGGUGGCAGCAGUGGGGAAUUUUGGACAAUGGGCGAAAGCCUGAUCCAGCGACGCCGCGUGGAGGACGAAGGUCUUCGGAUUGUAAACUCCUUUUGCAGGGGACGAAAAAAAUGACGGUACUCUGCGAAUAAGCCACGGCUAACUACGUGCCAGCAGCCGCGGUAAUACGUAGGUGGCGAGCGUUACUCGGAAUCACUAGGCGUAAAGCGCGUGUAGGCGGUAUUUUAAGUCUGUUGUGAAAUCUUAUGGCUCAACCAUAAAAUGUCGACAGAUACUGAAGUACUAGAGUGAGGCAGGGGAAACUGGAAUUCCAGGUGUAGCGGUGGAAUGCGUAGAGAUCGGGAGGAACACCAGUGGCGAAGGCGGCUCUCUGGCUCACUCCUGACGCUGAGUGCGCGAAAGCGUGGGGAGCAAACGGGAUUAGAUACCCUUGUAGU